UGGUGAUUGUAGUUGCCAGCAAGUCUCAAUUAAGAGGGGUGAAGGAACAUAAAGUAUGUUUUUCUAAUUACUCACGGUAAAGUAGAGAGUUGUCUAUAAAUAUACCGCGGCUAGAAGACGGCGAUCUGUCGUUCUGAACACAGUGUAAGAGAUCGGGGAGUUAGACGUGAUUGAUUGCAUGGGGAUAAUUCAGCGAAUUUGAAAUAAAACUUCAUUACAGUAUAUGGCAUGUAAUCCAAUACGGACUGAUAUUACUUGAGAUAUAGCGAUAUACCAGAGAAAAGGCUAAAGCACCCAUGCAUAGAAGCCGCCUAUGAUACGGCGAUGAGGAAGAUAAUCUUACAGUAGGAGAUUUACACUGGUCAUACCACUCAGAGGAAGGGCUAUCAUUCUAUUCGCUUCUUUUUCAACAACAGGAUUUUAUUUCUAACUGGAGCACUACACUGUAUAAGCGAAAGACAUGUCGGUAAAAGAUGUAUCCGAGGAGACACUGAAAGAUUGGAGGGAAGCAUUUGGUAUGUUUGAUAAAAAUGGAGACAAUUUGAUAAGCGCUGGUGAAUUGGGCACAGUGAUGAGAAAUCUAGGACAAAAUCCGACAGACGAUGACGUCAGGAAGAUGAUCAGUGACGUCGACAUAGACGGUGAGGAAUGC
Saccostrea cuccullata (small rock oyster) is the source of this 652-nucleotide long non-coding RNA. RefSeq lists it as uncharacterized. NCBI's taxonomy places the organism in Eukaryota, Metazoa, Mollusca, Bivalvia, Ostreida, Ostreidae. The record is from RefSeq and is a predicted model, not a curated record. The transcript has 3 exons.